This 520-nucleotide ribosomal RNA is filed under the name uncultured Glomus. Its description in RNAcentral is "SSU rRNA". It matches the Rfam family "Eukaryotic small subunit ribosomal RNA", at positions 569 to 1092 of the family's 1831-position model. Lineage: Eukaryota; Fungi; Glomeromycota; Glomeromycetes; Glomerales; Glomeraceae. The record is from RNAcentral.
AGCAGCCGCGGUAAUUCCAGCUCCAAUAGCGUAUAUUAAAGUUGCUGCAGUUAAAAAGCUCGUAGUUGAAUUUCGGGACUAAUAUGUCGGUCGUGCCUCGGUACGUACUGGUAUUUUUGGUUUCUCCCUUCUGACGAACCUUGAUGUCAUUAAUUUGGUGUCUUGGGAAAUCAGGACUGUUACUUUGAAAAAAUUAGAGUGUUUAAAGCAGGCUCACGCUUGAAUACAUUAGCAUGGAAUAAUGAAAUAGGACGUUUGAUUCUAUUUUGUUGGUUUCUAGGAUCGACGUAAUGAUUAAUAGGGAUAGUUGGGGGCAUUAGUAUUCAAUUGUCAGAGGUGAAAUUCUUGGAUUUAUUGAAGACUAACUACUGCGAAAGCAUUUGCCAAGGAUGUUUUCAUUAAUCAAGAACGAAAGUUAGGGGAUCGAAGACGAUCAGAUACCGUCGUGGUCUUAACCAUAAACUAUGCCGACUAGGGAUCGGAUGAUGUUAAUUUUUAAUGACUCAUUCGGCGCCUUACG